GGUGAGAUGGCUCAGUGGGUAAGAGCACCCGACUGCUCUUCUGAAGGUCUUGAGUUCAAGUCCCAGCAACCA
Molecule: transfer RNA, 72 nt
Filed under: Mus musculus (house mouse)
Lineage: Eukaryota; Metazoa; Chordata; Mammalia; Rodentia; Muridae
Description: tRNA-Ser
Source: RNAcentral